This 95-nucleotide transfer RNA is filed under the name Paraburkholderia caffeinilytica. Its description in RNAcentral is "tRNA-Pro". The record is from RNAcentral. Lineage: Bacteria; Pseudomonadati; Pseudomonadota; Betaproteobacteria; Burkholderiales; Burkholderiaceae.
CGCGGCGAUGGCGAAGCUGCGCACGCUGUUUCAGGGCAACCGCUUUGCAAAGUCCGCGGUUGAAACCGCCUUGUUCGAUGCCCAGGCGCAGCGUC